RNAcentral lists this ribosomal RNA (253 nucleotides) under uncultured bacterium. RNAcentral's name for it is "partial 16S ribosomal RNA". It matches the Rfam family "Bacterial small subunit ribosomal RNA", at positions 524 to 776 of the family's 1533-position model. The record is from RNAcentral.
UACGGAGGAUCCAAGCGUUAUCCGGAAUCAUUGGGUUUAAAGGGUCCGUAGGCGGGUAGAUUAGUCAGCGGUGAAAGUUUAUGGCUUAACCAUAAAAUUGCCGUUGAUACUGUUUAUCUUGAAUAAGUGUGAAGUGGUUAGAAUGAGUAGUGUAGCGGUGAAAUGCAUAGAUAUUACUCGGAAUACCAAUUGCGAAGGCAGAUCACUAACACUUUAUUGACGCUGAGGGGCGAAAGCGUGGGGAGCAAACAGG